UUGACAGCCCUGAAGACCGAAGUCCUUUAUUUAUGCAUGAGCAGCAACAGUUCUGCCUUUCCCACACUGCCCUCCUGAUAUGCUUCACCCAUGACCUGAGGGAUCCCCCUUAAGGUGACAGCUUUGUGGCUUUCACACCCAUUCACUCUCCAGUCCUU
RNAcentral lists this small RNA (158 nucleotides) under Junco hyemalis (dark-eyed junco). RNAcentral describes it as "TUC338 (ENSJHYG00000015395.1)". The record is from RNAcentral. Lineage: Eukaryota; Metazoa; Chordata; Aves; Passeriformes; Passerellidae.